This is a long non-coding RNA of Mustela erminea (ermine), 1621 nucleotides long. RefSeq lists it as uncharacterized. The record is from RefSeq and is a predicted model, not a curated record. The transcript is spliced from 3 exons. NCBI's taxonomy places the organism in Eukaryota, Metazoa, Chordata, Mammalia, Carnivora, Mustelidae.
CAGUAACUCCCCAUUCCUACUCCCGACCACGGACAACUGCUCACCUACUUUCUGUUUCUACAAAUGGGUCUCUUUUGGACUUUUUGUUGAUGUGGAGCAUCUUUUCCCGGGCUUACAGGACACGCGUGGGUCUUCUUGAGACAAACCACACGAAAGGAAUGCAUUUGUCGCUGCUGGAUGCCCUUUGAUUUAGCUGAUCCAGGAGCCCACCAAAGGGAAGAAGAUACUCUGCAUUCAGAAUGGAAUCACUGUUGACAUCCAGGACCUUCUCGUCCUCCCAAAGGGCAGGAACUCAAAGAGGGAGUGUGGGAGUGAGUCUGUAUGUUCAUCAGAGGGUAGAAAAUACUUUAUACAAUGUAUCACAUGAAGUCUGGGCAUUAAGUCCUUCCUUCAAAGUUUCAAAACAUUCACUUUCAUGUAUUGGUUUCCUUGUUGCCACUUGUUCCACAUUGGCACAAAUGGCAACACUGUAACACUGACCCCUCCCCCCCAACCAUGAGCCUUGGCACUUAGUAAAAGUAUGAAGACUCCUUCAGGAAUAGUGCUUUCAAGCCAUAUGAGGCAUAAGAACCAAUUAAGGAACUUGGGGAAAAUGGGGUGCUCCUGGAGAUGCCCACAGUGGGAAAUGCUGUCCCGUUGAUGUGACCACAUCCUGCUGACUUUGGGUGGGAGCUGGUCCCAGGCCUGAGUGUCCUACCCAGCAGCGCUGAGCUGAAUGUGACCCUCUUAAGUACAGCUGUGUACUUGACGGCGUAGUGUUACGUGAAUAGACGUGCACAGGCCAGAAUGGAAUGAAGCAAAGCGAACCAAGAAAGGCUAGGAUAAUUGCCUCCUAAUCAAUGACACAUUUGUAAGGAAUCCAGAUCUUUCUACAACUUGGCAGGGAAGAGCUUCAUUCUGAGGUAAAUCCAGAAACGGGCUCCUCUAAUCGUAACAGUUAACACUUUGCAGUCUCUAGAAUAUUAAUGGGUGAUGCAGAGUACGUGUUCCUGCAUCUGGCUUAUUUGAUCACACUUAAAAAUGUUUAAGAGUUAAGUCUAUCCUGAGGCACUCUUACAAAAUGCGGAUCAUGGAGUGGUCCUCGGACACAUUCAGCAACUGCCUGUCGUGCCAGGAUCCGUCCUCAGAGCAGGUAUGAUCUCAUGAAUCCUUGAGGUUUCCCUAAGCACUUGAUUUCUAUGGUUAUCCCCAUUUUACAGUUGGGAAAACAGAGACCUGGAAUGGCAAAGUAAUGGCGCCCACAGCUAUUUGCAGCUCAGCUGCUUUCCCCACCUUAUUUUGACUCGUGCUUACAAGGCUCUGGCCAAGCAGAACUCUCCUCUCUUCCUGGAGAGCAUGAUUUCUUGCCUCUGGGCCUUUGCUCUACUGAAUUUCCAUUCCCUUUGGCUCUGUUAAAUACCACUGCCUUCAAUAUUGUUGCCCUCCAACUGGAGGAUUUCUGGUUCGUGAGGAUCACUGCUGUCCCUUGAUGGGGAGGCUCUUCUAGACUCUGUGUCUUUGUUGGGUCUUCUCAGGAGCAGAAGCAGCAGGACCCACGCCCAUCCCUCCCUGAACUGCCCGCUGCCCCCUGCCCUGCCCCGCACAUUCUAAACACUGGGAUUUAUUUAUAGAGUAAAUGUCU